AAGGUUUUCUUUUUCCAAAUCCUUGGCCCCCUUGUCCGAAGCCUCCAGUUCCUGUGCCAGCACCUCCUGGUACGAAACCUCCAGUUCCUGUGCCAGCACCUCCUGGUCCGAAACCUGCACCUCCUGGUCCGAAGCCUCCAGUUCCUGUGCCAGCACCUCCUGGUACGAAACCUCCAGUUCCUGUGCCAGCACCUCCUGGUACGAAACCUGCACCUCCUGGUCCGAAGCCUCCCGUUCCUGUGCCAGCACCUCCUGGUACGACACCUCCAGUUCCUGUGCCAGCACCUCCUGGUCCGAAACCUGCACCUCCUGGUCCGAAGCCUCCAGUUCCUGUGCCAGCACCUCCUGGUACGAAACCUCCAGUUCCUGUGCCAGCACCUCCUGGUCCGAAACCUGCACCUCCUGGUCCGAAGCCUCCAGUUCCUGUGCCAGCACCUCCUGGUACGAAACCUCCAGUUCCUGUGCCAGCACCUCCUGGUCCGAAACCUGCACCUCCUGGUCCGAAGCCUCCAGUUCCUGUGCCAGCACCUCCUGGUCCUAAACCUGCACCUCCUGGUCCGAAGCCUCCGGUUCCUGUGCCAGCCCCUCCUGGUCCGAAGCCUCCGGUUCCUGUGCCAGCACCUCCUGGUCCGAAGCCUCCGGUUCCUGUGCCAGCACCUCCUGGUCCGAAGCCUACGGUUCCUGUCCCAGCCCCUCCUGGUCCGAAGCCUCCGGUUCCUAUCCCAGCCCCUCCUGGUCCGAAGCCUCCCGUUCCUGUGCCAGCCCCUCCUGGUCCGAAGCCUCCGGUUCCUGUCCCAGCCCCUCCAGGUCCGAAGCCUCCCGUUCCUGUGCCAGCACCUCCUGGCCCAACACCCCCAGGCCCAAAUCCACCAGGUCCAUAUCUGUCAGGUCCAACCCCUGCACCUAGAAAAUAGGCAUAGUUUGUUUCCCCCUUAUAAGCUGCCAUUAUUAUAUCUGCCGGGAGAUCUUGCAUUCGGUUUUGUGUGUGUGUGUGUGUGUGUGUGUGUGUGUGUGUGUGUGUGUGUGUGUGUGUGUGGCAUCUACGUCUUUGUCCACGGCUAA
Molecule: long non-coding RNA, 1062 nt
Filed under: Cottoperca gobio
Lineage: Eukaryota; Metazoa; Chordata; Actinopteri; Perciformes; Bovichtidae
Description: lncRNA (ENSCGOG00000010764.1)
Source: RNAcentral